This 253-nucleotide ribosomal RNA is filed under the name uncultured bacterium. RNAcentral describes it as "partial 16S ribosomal RNA". It matches the Rfam family "Bacterial small subunit ribosomal RNA", at positions 524 to 776 of the family's 1533-position model. The record is from RNAcentral.
GACAGAGGGUGCAAACGUUGUUCGGAAUCACUGGGCGUAAAGCGUGCGUAGGCGGUCUUGUAAGUCGGAUGUGAAAGCCCUGGGCUCAACCUAGGAAGUGCACUCGAUACUGCGAGACUUGAGUACUGGAGAGGUUGGUGGAAUUCUCGGUGUAGAGGUGAAAUUCGUAGAUAUCGUAAGGAAGACCAGUGGCGAAGGCGAGUCUCUGGACAGCAACUGACGCUGAGGCACGAAGGCCAGGGGAGCAAACGGG